GUUGAGAACCGUUACUUGACUGGUACCUCCAGCCCACCAGCAGGCAAUGAUGGCAUCAGACUAGAGGAUCACCAGUAAAUCAUUGUAAACAAGCGUGGAAAGAGAGAAAGUCCACUUUAAGCGAUGGAAAAUCAGCCCCAAUUCUGAAGGAACAACCAUGAACAGAUGAUUUAAGGAGAAUCAAUUCUUUGCUCUUUGCAGAAGGAGCCAACAGAGUGAGAUGAAGGGGACAACUUCAGAUACUCAGGCAGAAGCAUAAGUCCCCACCUGCUGACCUGCUGCCUGCUAUCUUAACACGAAUUCUUCAUCUGAAUGGAUGAGCUUUUCACAGAGCUGAAUGCACACCUGGCCCAAGAGCUGGAGAAGCUAAAGGCGGGACCAGGGAAAGGUGGAGCGGUUGCAGACUCAGCUGCUGGCCCACAUCAACAAGAUCCUUCCACCCCACUUGCUGAUACAGCUUCAACAAAGAAGGGUGUUCACCAACUGACUACAAGAAUCAUUGCUAACCAGGGAUGACUCAUUCUCACAUCCAUCCUAAAUAGACUUCCUUGGAUACAAAAAAUCCAGAGUUUGCCGUAUCUCCAUGGACACUGUCAUUUAGACAGGACACUUACUUCUUGGGAAACUCACUUCCAUUUUCCUAAUAAGGUUCCCUUUGAAGACUAAGAAUUUCUCCAAGACAAAAUUCAUGUAAGCCAAAAUACCAGACAUCAGGCCUGUAAUUGUGGUCACCCUGGCCACAGCCAAGUUGUCACCUUCACUCACGAUCAUCUUUCUGCCCUCUGCUACUUGUAGAAUAAUGAUCAUAAAGUAUUGUUGUCUGAAGCCCCUUUAGAAAAGUUGAUUUACAGCAGCCCAUGAGAGAGGUAGAUUAGAGAUGACCAAUGUCCUGAGAACACCAAGAAGCACUCAUCUUUGAUUCUCAGGGCUUGACAUUUCAGAAACAAAUCCAGACACAUUAUAAUAAUGACCCUGGUCCAUUGUGAGCCCAUUAGAAAACACUCACAAAUAAGUAUUCAAAAUUUUCCAGUUAUUUUGACUCCUAAAAAUGUCUUCCAAGAUAUAUCAAAGUUUCCGUAAUUUUGCAAUCAACUUGGUUUUUAUUUAAACCAAGUAGCAACUCUCUCUGUAGCAACCCUGACUUUUCUUGUUAUUAAAUCACUCUAUAAUUAAAUAUAAAGUUAUUGGUGACAUUCACAGAAAAUCCUAGAGAGUAUGGAGUUCUUGCUACAGAAGAUAUACUUUAUUGAAAUGUAAAAGAAGUCAGUUAAAUUUAUAAUUUCAACUUGCCCAAACAUUUAGCUCAAAAGUAGUGAUCUUAGUUUUGACAUUUCUUGCAUUGGACUCAAGGCUUCUAAUAGAUUACAAGUUCCUUUUAUUGAUUCAACACAUUAUUAUUGAGUAACCUUUGUUCUAGACACU
Molecule: long non-coding RNA, 1422 nt
Filed under: Homo sapiens (human)
Lineage: Eukaryota; Metazoa; Chordata; Mammalia; Primates; Hominidae
Description: HSALNT0319135
Source: RNAcentral